GACGAACGCUGGCGGCGUGCUUAACACAUGCAAGUCGAACGGUGAAGCGCCUUCCUUUUUGGUGGGUGUGGAUGAGUGGCGAACGGGUGAGUAACACGUGAGUAACCUGCCCCCUUCUUCUGGAUAACCGCAUGAAAGUGUGGCUAAUACGGGAUAUUCUGGGUCUGUCGCAUGAUGGGUCUGGGAAAGAUAUUGUUUCGGUUGUGGAUGGGCUCGCGGCCUAUCAGCUUGUUGGUGGGGUGAUGGCCUACCAAGGCGGUGACGGGUAGCCGGCCUGAGAGGGUGGACGGUCACACUGGGACUGAGACACGGCCCAGACUCCGACGGGAGGCAGCAGGGGGGAAUAUUGCACAAUGGGCGCAAGCCUGAUGCAGCGACGCCGCGUGAGGGAUGGAGGCCUGCGGGUUGUGAACCUCUUUCGCCAGUGAAGCAGGCCUGCCUCGUUUGUGGGUGGGUUGACGGUAGCUGGAUAAGAAGCGCCGGCUAACUACGUG
This 494-nucleotide ribosomal RNA is filed under the name uncultured bacterium. RNAcentral describes it as "partial 16S ribosomal RNA". It matches the Rfam family "Bacterial small subunit ribosomal RNA", at positions 28 to 507 of the family's 1533-position model. The record is from RNAcentral.